Molecule: ribosomal RNA, 440 nt
Filed under: uncultured bacterium
Lineage: Bacteria
Description: partial 16S ribosomal RNA
Rfam family: Bacterial small subunit ribosomal RNA
Source: RNAcentral
CCUACGGGAGGCUGCAGUGAGGAAUAUUGGGCAAUGGAGGCAACUCUGACCCAGCCAUGCCGCGUGAGUGAAGAAGGUUUUCGGAUUGUAAAGCUCUUUCGGCUGUGACGAUGAUGACGGUAGCCUCUAAAGAAGCCCCGGCUAACUUCGUGCCAGCAGCCGCGGUAAUACGAAGGGGGCAAGCGUUGUUCGGAUUUACUGGGCGUAAAGGGAGUGUAGGCGGUUUAGUAAGAUAGUGGUGAAAUCCCAGAGCUUAACUUUGGAAUUGCAAUUAUAACUAGUAGACUAGAAUGAAAGAGAGGAGAAUGGAAUACCCAGUGUAGAGGUGAAAUUCGUAGAUAUUGGGUAGAACACCAGUGGCGAAGGCGACUAUCUGGAUGGAAAUUGACGCUGAGGCUCGAAAGCAUGGGGAUCAAACAGGAUUAGAUACCCGAGUAGUC